UUUGGCACUUGUAGAAUUCACUGAAUAAGUGAUGAACAUCAGGGAUUCUGCAAUGCCUUAGA
This 62-nucleotide microRNA precursor is filed under the name Eisenia fetida (common brandling worm). Its description in RNAcentral is "Efe-Mir-96-P2n_pre stem-loop". Lineage: Eukaryota; Metazoa; Annelida; Clitellata; Crassiclitellata; Lumbricidae. The record is from RNAcentral.